This 253-nucleotide ribosomal RNA is filed under the name uncultured prokaryote. RNAcentral's name for it is "partial 16S ribosomal RNA". It matches the Rfam family "Bacterial small subunit ribosomal RNA", at positions 524 to 776 of the family's 1533-position model. The record is from RNAcentral.
GACAGGGGAUGCAAGCGUUAUCCGGAAUGAUUGGGCGUAAAGCGUCUGUAGGUGGCUUUUUAAGUCUGCCGUCAAAUCCCAGGGCUCAACCCUGGACAGGCGGUGGAAACUACCAAGCUAGAGUACGGUAGGGGCAGAGGGAAUUCCCAGUGUAGCGGUGAAAUGCGUAGAUAUUGGGAAGAACACCAGCGGCGAAAGCGCGUGACUGGGCCUGAACUGACACUCAUGGACGAAAGCUAGGGGAGCGAAAGGG